AACGAACGCUAUCGGUAUGCUUAACACAUGCAAGUCGGACGGACUAAUUAGGGCUUGCUCCAAUUAGUUAGUGGCAGACGGGUGAGUAACACGUGGGAAUCUGCCCAUCAGUACGGAAUAACUUUUAGAAAUAAAAGCUAAUACCGUAUAUUCUCUACAGAGGAAAGAUUUAUCGCUGCUGGAUGAGCCCGCGUCAGAUUAGGUAGUUGGUGAGGUAACGGCUCACCAAGCCGACGAUCUGUAGCUGGUCUGAGAGGAUGAUCAGCCACACUGGGACUGAGACACGGCCCAGACUCCUACGGGAGGCAGCAGUGGGGAAUAUUGGACAAUGGGCGAAAGCCUGAUCCAGCAAUACCGAGUGAGUGAUAAAGGCCCUAGGGUUGUAAAGCUCUUUUAGCAAGGAAGAUAAUGACGUUACUUGCAGAAAAAGCCCCGGCUAACUCCGUG
Molecule: ribosomal RNA, 447 nt
Filed under: uncultured bacterium
Lineage: Bacteria
Description: partial 16S ribosomal RNA
Rfam family: Bacterial small subunit ribosomal RNA
Source: RNAcentral